This 4082-nucleotide long non-coding RNA is filed under the name Vitis vinifera (wine grape). RNAcentral's name for it is "long non-coding RNA (VVIN_LNC008125)". The record is from RNAcentral. Lineage: Eukaryota; Viridiplantae; Streptophyta; Magnoliopsida; Vitales; Vitaceae.
AAAAUUUAAAUAGCAUAGGAUCACAUGUUGACAAUUAAGCAUGCAUUUACCAGCAAAAUUCAAUCCGUUACCUUGGUUCGUGCUUUGGGAAGCCAUUUCUGCUCUCCUUUGAUAUCCAAUAAUCUGCUUUCCGAGUGCGUGAUGGUCCGAGAAUGAGCGAUCAAUGAACUCUUCCCUUGUCUCCCAAAAUUCAGUCCAGUGGAGUGUGUGAGUGUGUGGCCGGGAGUGUUCUUCAAAGAGAACAAAAGAGAGAGUCGUCCACCUCCAAAAGCACACACCUCUAUAUAUAUAUCACACACAUUAUUUGGACCACCACUUGACUUAAUGGGCCAGUCAAGUGAAUUAGGGUGAGCCCAUAAAAAAUCAAGCAACAAUAUGUGUCCAGUCCCAUUAUGGACCACAAUGCAAAAAUAAAUAACACUGAUUUAUGACAUUAUUAAAUUGAUUAUGUAAGUCCACACAUAAAAAUUCCAACAAUCUCCCACUUGGACUACAUAAUCAAACAUUACAACAUACACAUAAUCAUAAAUCAAUGUCCCAUAGAAUCUCAUCAGAAAUAAAUAAUCAAAAGCAAUCAUAUAUGCUUCAUUGCUUGAUUCAUAGGGAAAUGUACAAUAAUAGCAAUCCUUUCAACAAUAACAUAGUAUUACAAUACCAAAAAAAUGGCUCCCACUAACUUAAUACAACCUAGGCUUCCAACAACCCCAUUUGAGAUACAUGUUCUUGAAACGCAAUUAUGGGUAAGCCUUUUGUUAAUGGAUCCGCCAACAUACUUUUUGUGGACAUGUGUUCAAUAUCAAUAAGAGACUCUGCCACUUUCUCCUUAACAAAAUAGAACUUUACAUCAAUAUGUUUGGAGCGAGAAAUACUCCUAGUGUUCUUAGAGAAAGCAACAGCUGCGGAAUUAUCACAAAAUAAUUUCAGCGGUCUAGAAAUGGAGUCAACAACUCCUAAAGCUGAAAUAACUCCUAAAGCUGAAAUAAAAUUCCGCAUCCACAUAGCAUGACAACAAGCCUCAUAACAUGCCACAUACUCUGCCUCCAUAGUUGAGGAUGCUGUAAGUGUCUGCUUGACACUUUUCCAAGAUACAGCUCCUCCUGCCAUCAUAAAAAUAUAGCCCGUAGUGGAUUUCUUAUCAUCUAUGCAGCCAGCAAAAUCAGCAUCACAAAACCCAACUACAUCAAGUAAGCUGGUGCGCUGAUAUGUCAACAUUAAGUCCUUAGUUCCUUGCAAAUACCUAAGGACCUUCUUAGCUGCUUUCCAAUGUUGACUCCCAGGAUUGCUCAAGUACCUUCCCAACAUGCCCACAACAAAAGCAAUAUCAGGGCGUGUACAUACUUGAGCAUACAUAAGGCUGCCCACCACAGAUGAAUAAGGAAUGGUCUUCAUUUCCUCUCUCUCAUCAUCAUUUUGAGGACACUGAGCCUUUGAAAAUUUAUCACCCUUCACAAUUGGCGUUUUAGUAGAUUUACAGUUGUGCAUAUUGAACCUCUUCAAUAUCCUUUCAAUAUAGGCUCUUUGAGACAAUUUAAGCACUCCAUUAGCCCUAUCACGAAGAAUCUUUAUGCCCAAGACAUAAGAAGCCUCACCAAGAUCCUUCAUGUCAAAAUGGGUUGACAACAUGUGCUUUGUCUCAAUCAACAAGUCAGGAUCAUUUGAUGCGAGUAGUAUAUCAUCAACAUAUAAAACAAGAAAUAUGUAACUACUCCCACUGACCCUCAAAUAUAUGCAUCUGUCAACUGUAUUCUCUUUAAAACCAUUUUGGGUGAUAAUACUAUCAAACUUCAGAUACCACUAAAUCUUUCAUCAACAGAGCUCACAUCUUCAAAAUAUACAACCCUGUCUAACUCAAUGAUCCUAGUGGUAUGAGAUGGACAAUAAAAUCUGGAACCCCUUGAUCCAAUGCAAUAGCCAACAAAGAAACCACUAAUGGUUUUAGGAUCAAGUUUCUUUGACUGUGGGUUAUAGGGCCUGACCACGCUUCCGCUGCGCAUAGCUUAUAAGGUGUCUUAAGCACAGACUUACUGGGCACUUGAUUCAAAAUAUAUGCCGCAGUCCUUAAGGCUUCACCCCAUAGAAAUUCUAGUAAGGAGGAAUUGGACAACAUGCACCUCACCAUCUCUAACCAAUCUCUCUAAUAAUUGCCUAGAAAUAUGACCUAGGCGUUUGUGCCACAAUAUGGAAGAACUCAAAUUUACUUGGCUUAUCAACUCUCAAAGCCCAGUCCAAAAUGUGCAUAGCCAUAUGCACAUUGAAAGACUCAAAACAUUCCUCAAAAUUAUUCCAGUAAGAGGUUUGAUGGCAGACAAUUGCAGAGUAAUACCAGGAUUGCUUGUAGCUGGAAAAUAGCAAAAUUCAACAGUAUGCAUGUUAUUACAAUAUCAUGCAUUUGCUAAUUUCCAUAAUUUCUCAAUUUAGCAAUAGCUUGGAUUUUUUAAAAAAUUCCACGGCGGUAAGGACAACUAAUUAAAUAUUACAACCAAAAUGUACUAAUUUUAUUACCGAAAGGGCAAAGAAAAUUAGUACAGUUCAUAAUAUACAAUUAAUUUCCUUCACCAAUCUAAGCAUCCUACCAAGCAUUGUUAUCAUCGAUAGGACAAUUACAAUACCCGUAUGGACCUUAGUUAUCACAAUAAUAAAACAAUCAAAUGUGGGAGUUAAAUUAUCUCAACAAGGACAAUUUGACACAUAUAGGAUCACGAUAGGCAAUCACACAUAUGUUCACUAUUGUCAUGAAUAAAAUUCAAAAUAUCUCAAUUUUCACAAUUUGACACACUUGGAAUUGCGAUAGGCAAUCACACAAGUGUGCUUCAUUGCCUCAAUAAAUUGAAAUAUUUAACAAAAUUGACAUAGGACAACAUUAUUGAUAUAAGGAAAAAUUAUACCAUAAAUAACAAUAAUAAUAAUAAUUGUCCCAAUAAAGUCAAAAUUUAACAAAUGCAUAAAAAAUUCUAGCAUAUGCACAAUCAAUCCAAGAAUACCAAGGCAACAAACAAACAAAAAAAAAAAAAAUUUUUGGUUUUUUUUUUUUUUUUAUGACGUCAUGAUGACGUCAUCACGUCACUAUUCAUCUCCUUCUCCAGCUGAACACGGCCUGGUGCAGGAGAAAAAAAAAAUUUUCCUUUUUCGGCCAAAAUUUUGGGCAUUUUCCGACAAAAAACGCUUAGAUUUCCAUCCUCAAACAUCAAACCUUCAAUCUAAUCCCAAAAUUUGCACAAAAAACGCAUAAUAGGAAGAACCAAAGCAAGCCCUAAUUCUCGAAAUCCCACCAAACAAGCUCCAAAAAUCAAAUAAAAUGAUGGGUUUUGCUCCAAACAAUAUUCUCUACAAGUUUCCAACAACAAUCGGGCUUGAAAACAGAGAAUCAACAUCAAACGAGAAAUAAAAUUCCAAAAAAAUGGCUUCCACCACAGGAAACGGGAAACCCAAAAAUUAACCCAAAAUUGCAGCUCAAAUGUCAAUCAUGCAUGCUCUGAUACCAAUUGAUGAAAAUUUAAAUAGCAUAGGAUCACAUGUUGACAAUUAAGCAUGCAUUUACCAGCAAAAUUCAAUCCGUUACCUUGGUUCGUGCUUUGGGAAGCCAUUUCUGCUCUCCUUUGAUAUCCAAUAAUCUGCUUUCCGAGUGCGUGAUGGUCCGAGAAUGAGCGAUCAAUGAACUCUUCCCUUGUCUCCCAAAAUUCAGUCCAGUGGAGUGUGUGAGUGUGUGAGUGUGUGGCCGGGAGUGUUCUUCAAAGAGAACAAAAGAGAGAGUCGUCCACCUCCAAAAGCACACACCUCUAUAUAUAUAUAUCACACACAUUAUUUGGACCACCACUUGACUUAAUGGGUCAGUCAAGUGAAUUAGGGUGAGCCCAUAAAAAAUCAAGCAACAAUAUGUGUCCAGUCCCAUUAUGGACCACAAUGCAAAAAUAAAUAACACUGAUUUAUGACAUUAUUAAAUUGAUUAUGUAAGUCCACACAUAAAAAUUCCAACAUUCUAUAGUUCCAUCAAAGAUUCAAAAAAUAAAAAGAUUCUAGAUGAAUGGUGAACCUUGAUGUCACACGGUAGAAACAGAUUUCUCUCCCCAAGAAAUGGUUAAAAA